CGUAUGUGAGGAUGCGUGGUGUGUGCAAUUGCUCAUUGUAUUAGUUUAAUUUCAUUAUUAUUUUAAUUAGUUACGUAGUAUUUAUUCAAUAGGAGAAGAACAUUAUAUUCAUUGUAUAAUUAAAUAUUGUAUAAGAAUUAAUAGAGAAUGAAUCAAUGUGUGUGUGUAUGCGCGUGUAUUGUAUCUACGUAGCAGCGGUGUUUACUUCCCAACGUUCAGUUGCGGAGAAUGUUUCGAAGCAAGACGCAGAAAAAUGAAGUUUUCUUCCCGUCUCAACACGUUACAGCAUUUCUUCGCAAACCUGGAGUAUGUCAUGGCAGAUAAUCAGGAAACCACUUCGUAUCACGAAGAUACUUUUCAAAUAGUUGGAAGAGAUUACAGGAGGAUAUUUUUGAACGUGGGGAAACGUUGAGUAUUUUAAACAGUUGUUGAAGUGGAGGAUAAUGCAUCGAGGAUUUCGAACGAGACUAAAUGACUUACGGGGCAGAUAAUAUUGAACUAAAUGGGAAAGGAGGUUUUUAGAAAGGGCAGGGAAAUCUUCGCUUGCACGGGACGAGUUCGAUUGGUUCGCUUGGAAAGGACUUACGAUGGGAUUGCCGACGCCAGGAUCGUUUACUUUUCGGGCUGUCUUUGGAGCUUGUAAUAAACGACUUCUAUCCCAAACAGCACCGUUUCAAUAUUUACGUAUAAUAAUCCUCGAAACUGGAACUUUCGAGAGAAUUUAACACGGACUAUCUUCAUCUUUUACGUAACUCAUAACGCAAACAAGCAAUUUGCUUCGGCGUAUCAACGCCAAGCGCAGGGGAUGAACCGGAAACGGCGCGAAGAGCGCAAACACGUGCAGGUGAAAUUGCUCGUAAUCGCGUUCCUAUACUGAAAAUAAUCUUCUUCGGUGUAUUCGUGGACCGACGUACUUGGCGUUCUAAAAUUUAACGAGACCUUCUAGGCGUGGAUAUUGACCAGGGACGAAUUAACCCUACGACUGAAUACAAAUGGGUUCAUUUGCAAAGGAAAGAACAGAGAGUUCAGCGGACAAACAGUCGGCCAAACCUCAUUAUUAUUCUCCCGUCCUUAACAUCAUUCGCCGUAGUCCUCGGAUCUUUCAACUCAAAAUCCACCUACAAUCGAGUCUACUCAGCUGACAAACGUUCAAAAGGGAAAUCGACAUAAAUUUAAUUAACUCACAACGCCAGUGUUCUCCCUUCCACGUGGAACUUGCAGGGUGUCAAAGUAUUUCCGACUUAAUACCUUUCUGUCAUUCGAUCGUUCGUUCAGUGUUCUCUUUUAAUAUUUUCUUACUGGUAUUAAUCACGGUAGAUUAGUCACCAUUUAAUAUGAACCCGUCAAGGAUCAAUUUUGCAUUAACGCAAUAUUUCACUUGUCAUGUCAACUAAUUUAUCUCAUUGGAGUUUGAUAAAAAUUAUAUCGAUGUGCUAUUACUUCAUAGAAAAUAAUGUAAUUAGUUGGUUUAUAUCAUCGAAUUCUUCGUUCUAACGUUACUGAAUAUUUCUUUCAGUCAGUAUCUCCUCUUCCAACUAUCUUCUACGAUUUAAAAUAACACAUGCAGAAAUUGAGUAUUUGUAACGCUAUGAUGGUAGUGUUCUUUUAAUUAAAACAUCUCUUCUUUGUAUUUCUGAUUCGCGUGGUAAAGUUCUUAACACCAUCUAUCAUUCUAAUACAUUUGUUUUAUCUUGAUAAAGCAAUAAAUUGCUUGUUAGGAAUUAUUUCAUUGCUUGGUCCUUAAUGGGUUUGCUAUGUUUUGGUCCUUGUGAGACCUACACAAUCUCUAUCAGUGCAUAUACAUAAUCAGUUAAUUCUAACUCGCAUUCGACAAUCUGAUUAUUUAUUAACGCUGAAAUAAUGGUCAAAUAUUACAUUCAACUUUUCUCUUCAACCCAAUACUUCUAUUUAAUACUUGUUAAACAUUUGAUGACCAUCUUACAGAUUCUCUACUGCAAACCAGUGCGUGCUACCAAGCACUAAUUAAAAUAACGUUUGAAUUAAUAUUUAAUCACAAUGGCUGUGUGUAGAAAAUACUACUCUUGAGUGCAGUAAACAAAAAUAUACAUUGAACAAAAAAAGAUAGUGUUACAGAAACAGAAAAUCUGUUUCCACCUACGACAAUGUUGGAAGGUAUAUCUAAAAAAAAAAGAAGUAUCAGUGCCACACGGAUAAAAAAUAUCUAGCAAAAAUGAAAAACCGCGCGAAAACGUAUCGUGCAGUGCGAUUUCUGUCGAGAUUCGAUGAGACACAAAUAUUUUCACGGCUAACAGAGUAUCGAAACCCAAAACAUCGUGCUCCCACGUUUCGGUCGAGAUAUGUUAACCAACAUGCAAAUUUUCGUAAAUUCGGGAGCUCUUGGAAUUUUUUCGAACGAAUAGAAAAUUUUACAGCCGUAGAUUUGUUAUACGAAUUUAAUUAGCAGGGAGUGAAAGCAAUUUGAGAUGCUUUGAACGUUAAUCUGCUGUUUGCAGCAAGAUUUCAGAAGCUUCAAAAAGAUAAUUCUUCAGAUAAAUCUCGGAAACGUCGGGACAUUAAAUUUUUUAAGGGAGAGACGGAAGAAGUAAUUUAAUAAACAAUUGAAGAUCAAAUAAGCUUUCUGGUACGUAUUUUGAAUUCUUGGGACAUUUAGACUAAAUAUUUAGCUUUUCUUCAAUAUGAAAGAAGCUUUGAAACUUUCAAAUUGUAAUUUUAGAAUUCUCAGAGUUUUGAAGUUAUUAAUCCUUAAAUGCAUACAUACUGGGUUGACAUUUUAUAGCGUACUUUUAUUUUAUAAUAUAAAUCAGAUAAGUAUUACUUACUGUAUGGUAUGUUGAAUAUAGUUAUGUUACCAAUAUCAAACACAUCCGCAUUAUACAACACGAAGUAUUAAUCUAAGCGAAUAAAAUAAAAAGUCAACUAUUUUUCCAUUUCAUUAUCUUUGUCCAUUAUAGUUUCAAUAUCCGGAUGUUAUUACGUUAAAAUAAUUUAAAUACAACUAAUAAGAUAUGAUUCGUUUGUAUGUUCUAUAAUAUAUCUCGUAGCUAUUUUGAAACAAAUUCUUCUUACAACUAAAAAGAACCGAAAAGAUAAAACUAGUUUCAGAGUAGACGAAUAUUUUCAAAAUCUUUUGUUAUAUUUAAAGAAAUCAUGCAUUCGAGGAUUAAUAUUCGCACGAAUUUUAAAUUCCCAAGCUUUCCAGGACGUUCAUAAACAUUGAACGAAAACCUACAAAAAUUCCUACAUUUCCAAACAUUCGCCAACAGGACUUCGAAUAUUCGAAAUUUCUCUACAUUCGCGAUUUCAAAGCUUCAAACAUCUUCAAACUUACCGAACGUAGGAUUUUCGCUAAACCUCAUUGCACAAAAUUUUUCCAAAUUCCAUGAACUUCUACGUUCGGAAUAUCCAAAUAAAUACCAAAGCUCGGAACUCGUCUCCCGAGGGACCUUUCAUCGAUAGUCGCUCUUUCAAGAAAAACCGCCGCGAACGUUUUAAAAAGCAUCGACACGCGGUUUUUGAGCAGCGUCCUAUCGAUUCAGUUCUAUAAUUUGUAUAAAUUGUUUGGAAAUUUCACGGAACGAAAUACGUACUCCCUAGCACCCGAGGCAAUAGUUACUAUGCUGCAGAACUCGAGAAACGUUCAGAUGGUCGUUUCUGAACGAAAUUACAGGAGGAAUGCGUUUUGUACGGACGAUGGAACACGGAAUCGCAGGGGAAGCUCGCAAACAGUGGCGGGCGAACGCUCAUUAGCAAACGCGGCGCGUGUUCCGCGAGCUCUCCUCCUACGAUUAUCCCGGAAAACAUGUAUCAGAGCGAGCAGCUUUAAAAAAGUCACGGUGGAUAGUUUUAAACGUGUUAUUAUAUGGAGUAACACGUACGCCCUACCCCGUGUAACUUGGCUGGUGGCACGAUACAAGCUGCAGGUAGUUAACUACUCGUUGGGCGCACAGGAUGCAAUCUCGAAAUCGACCAGGCAACUUGGAAGCACGCACGCCAAUAAAAAGAGCUCUCGCAUCGUCUGAUAUAUGUAGACACCAAGAAAAUAUUUUCCUAGCUAUCGCCACCGAAUUUUCAACCAACAAUCGUUUAUAUAGAGCCAGCGGAUCGUACGUUCAACCCUUAAACUGAAAUAGUUUAACAUUAGGAUUAGUUCACAGGUUAGUAAUUUUGUUUUCAUCAUAUUUUGUUAAAUUCUGUUUUAUUAUAUUUCUAAGUAAUUAUAAUUAAAGAUGUUUCUUAGGAAUUGUAUAUUAGUUGUAUAUUACACUGUUACGAUUAAAACACGAAUGAACAAGUAACUAUAAGUUUUUACCGAAACAGGAGAGUACUCUUUCUGUAUAUUUCAAGAUAUGAACAAAAGUAUAAGUUAAUAGAAACGUUUCUUAAACAUUUCCUAUAUAUUAAGUUACACUUUUCCCAGCUACGAUCAUGGUCAUCGUUAAAAUUGUCUUUUAUUAUUAUUACGAUUGUCUCACCUUAUAUAGUUCAAAUAGCGGAUGUUCAAAAAUUUCUCGAAUCCCUUAUCGCAUGAACAUUAUAUACUCGUAUAAUGUUAUACACAUGUAAUUCUUAAAUUCACGUAUAUUACGUACCACUGUAGCAUUAUAAUAUUAUAUACUUACACUUCGUCGAACCCAUCACGUUACCUCAAACCAUUUCCAUUUGCAAACUCAUUGAUUAUCACUUACAUGUACUCACUUGUAAAGAAACAUUUGGUCAAUUUCAAAGAACCAACGAAAUCAAUCGCCAAAACGACCAUCGUCGUACAAUAAUAAUUCAAAGAAGAGAUAGAGAAUCGGUGGAGCUGAUUUAAGGGUUGAAGUAGAACUCGCUGCUCUCAUUACCAGAGAAUUAUCGCUAGGGGGAUCGUACAUGAUCGAGGUAAACAAACGGGGGACGAAAUAGUGUAUGCCAGAACGGUUUAUUUGCGGUUUAAUUUGCGCCAAAGUACAAAUACUCAUGCAAAACGAACAUAGUAUGUAACAGCGUGAACGUGCUCGGCCUUCAACGAGGCAGAGAAUCGUCACGUAAAGCGGAGAGAAUUUACGAAAAAAAAAAAAAGGAACAAA
Bombus huntii is the source of this 5048-nucleotide long non-coding RNA. RefSeq lists it as uncharacterized. The transcript is spliced from 5 exons. The record is from RefSeq and is a predicted model, not a curated record. Lineage: Eukaryota; Metazoa; Arthropoda; Insecta; Hymenoptera; Apidae.